AGGUAGGACAGAUGGGAAGCAACAUUUCAGAGCGUAACGACAUGGUCGUGACUGCGGCAGGAUAGAUGGGAAGCAGCAUUUUCCAUCCUCCUGCGCCAGACCAACUUCGUCAUUUUCUGAUUGGUGUGAAGUGAGCACACAUUUGUUGAUCGUUAGUCUACCACUUGUUUCCUGUUCUCUUCAUUACUUCCUUCCUGCCGUACCACUGGAUCGCGGCUGUUACUGGAAGAUGAUGAACAAGUACAUAGGAUCAGAUGUAAUGUCAGUUAUUACACUUCCAAUCUUCAUCUUUGAGCCGUUGGGAAAAUGGCAGAGAUGGACUAUGCCCUUAAGUUCCCUCUAUACCACGCUCGAACGUCUAGACCACAAGAGGAACAUA
Long non-coding RNA from Triticum dicoccoides, 379 nucleotides. RefSeq lists it as uncharacterized. Lineage: Eukaryota; Viridiplantae; Streptophyta; Magnoliopsida; Poales; Poaceae. The record is from RefSeq and is a predicted model, not a curated record. The transcript has 4 exons.